UGCGAUACGUAGUGUGAAUUGCAGAAUUCCGCGAAUCAUCGAGUUUUUGAACGCAACUUGCGCCCGAGGUUCGUCCGAGGGCAUUUCCGUUAGAGCGUCACC
This 102-nucleotide ribosomal RNA is filed under the name Plagiomnium undulatum. RNAcentral's name for it is "partial 5.8S ribosomal RNA". It matches the Rfam family "5.8S ribosomal RNA", at positions 54 to 154 of the family's 154-position model. Rfam says of the family: 5.8S ribosomal RNA (5.8S rRNA) is a component of the large subunit of the eukaryotic ribosome. It is transcribed by RNA polymerase I as part of the 45S precursor that also contains 18S and 28S rRNA. Lineage: Eukaryota; Viridiplantae; Streptophyta; Bryopsida; Bryales; Mniaceae. The record is from RNAcentral.